Non-coding RNA from Microcebus murinus (gray mouse lemur), 5659 nucleotides. The record is from RefSeq and is a predicted model, not a curated record. NCBI's taxonomy places the organism in Eukaryota, Metazoa, Chordata, Mammalia, Primates, Cheirogaleidae.
GAUGGAGGCUGCCUCGGGCAGCUGGUGCAGGUUGUUGGUGCCUGCGUACACCUUCCAGCCAUCUAGGAUCUUCUCCCGGGUCCUGCAAGAGCCGGAGGGAGCAGGCGCCAGUUAUCCACCUGGCAGAGUUUACGCGUCACAUCUGCUACAUACAGGGAGCCACAGCCGAGCACCAGCUUGGAGGCAGGAGGAUGGAUGAAAAGACCUCUGGCAGGAACCCUCUAUCUUAUCCCUGGGGUCCAGAGCAACCUUCCACACCUUGCCCCCGAAAAAUUCUGAACUGGUUGCUCUGUGCCUUACAAUAACGAAGGAGAAGGGAUGAGUAAGACCCCUUUGUGGCAUUCACCCUCCACUAUCUCAUCUGCAAGUCAUCAAGGAUCAAAUACGGCAGGUGGGACCGAUCUCAGUAGUGUCCUCAUCAGAAACAGCGACGUAGACAGGACUAAGUGACCACAGAAGACUCAUUGCCCCAGAGGCCUGGACCCAGGGCUCUUUCCUGCCCCCAGCCUGGGCUGUGGACCCCCAAAUGGACAAGGCUGUCUGGUGACUGUCAGAAGCUGACUACAGUGAUGUCCCCAAAAUCACCUACAGUCUCUGGGACAGCACUUCUGAUUUUUUUGGCUCCUCUGCCAUGAGUUUCAGUUGCUGUGCCAUCACUGGGACUUUCUCGUCCUUGGGCCUCACUGACAACAGUACCCCCAACUCACACUCUCAGGACACGAGCUGCAAAUCCUGGCCCUCAAGUGACCAUCCAAGCCACACCAGCACUGCCUGGCCCAUGGGGGCUGAACUCACACCCACAGUCCUCACCUACAGAGAAGUCAGCCCACAGUCUGCCCUUCCUGGUGUUCCCCGGUCCUGGCAGCAUGGUGUCACCCGCCCACUCGGGUACUUACACAAAGAAGCAGUGGGCAGCAGGCCAGUUAUCUCUCUCAGAGGGGUCCCACCCUUCUGCCCCCUGACUCCCACUCCACACUGGCCACAAUCCAAGAAGAAGAGCAUCUUACGGGAACACUGGAGAGAGACAUACUGCUGGGAAGGACAUUCAGACCUGCAGGAGGAGACACAGAGGAUGGGAAAAGGGCACAUUAGCCACCUCCUCCAGGAAGCCUUCCUGAUUGACUCCUGCUCAGUUCCUAUUCCAUUUCUAAGGAAGCUAACCUUUGCACAAGAAGGUGGAGAGUCUGCCCUUCUCCCUCUCAGUGGGACAUUCUUCAUGCCUUCGGGGCAGGUGACCUGACGCAGUUCCUGAAGGUAGCAUGCACGGAGCAGCCACCCAGGUGCAGCGAAUUGCCCCCGACAGGUAAACCAGGUUAGCUGGCAGAGCACCCCAAAACUUCCCCCUCAGCAGGCCUGGGACAAGGGGCUGCAUGGCAAAGAUGACAGAGGAUGAGGAGGCCGACGCUUCCCAGGUGGGCUUCCCUGUCCCUGAUGCUCAUACGUGGCAUCCCCCUGCUGCUGGUCCCCAACUCUGUCCCAACCCCAACCUCAGGGAUGCUUCUCUGUCCCCGCCCAGACCCACUCCCAGGAGCAGCUUUGAGUCCAGACACCUGGCUGACUGGCGGCCCCAAGGCUUGUGAAUUGUCUCUGCCAUCCAGGUAAAGUCUCAGGGGCAGCCCUGGUGACCUCUGCACCAAGCCUCAAAUAAGAACUUUUACGUCAGCAGGCAGUAUGGUGGAUGACUGUCAGGGUGCCCUGACACUCUGAACGCCUAGAGGCUGGGACCCCAAAAGGAAAGGGGAACUCCCUGACCCAAAGCCCCUCCCCACCUCCUCAUUCGCCUGCUCACAGACAGGCAGCCAGCCCGCCCUGCCGUACCUGUGGAGGCUUUCCUGGACGGUGGAGUUGUAUUCAGAGAUUGAGAAGCUGCUGGCAAAGUCUCUGUGGGCCACUUCGGUUGUCCGGUAAGCACUGCAAGGGAGGGGAGGGAAGAAGAGUGAGCCCCUGGAGGCAGAGCCUACCCAGGUCCUGCAGCCGGCAUUAGAGUCCCCACCGGCUGGCAGAGGCCAGGCUGUGAUGGCCUGAAUGGUGCCGGCUCUUCCACGCAGCAGUCAAAGCCUAGGACAGUGUGACUCCACUGCCCCACCCCCGCUAGCCCCGUGUGGCUAGCCCAGGAGUACCCAGUAGUUCCCAGUGUAGACUGGCAGCAUUAACACUGCCUGGGAAAUUGUCAGAAAUGCAAAUUCUCUGGUCCCGCCCCAGACUUACUGAAUCAGAAAGUCUGGGGGUGGGCCCAGCAGUCUGUAUUUUAAGAGGCUGUCCCGUGAUGCUGAUGCAUGUUCAAGUGUGAGAAGCACCAGUCUAGCCCUUUUCCAUCCAAACCAUGAUACGUGGACCAGGCAGCAGCACCACCCCAGCCCCACUGAACCAGAGUCUGCAUUCUAAGGAAUCCCAGGUUACUGACUUAUACAUCAAAGUUUGAGAGCCUCUGGACAUGCCCACUGGGUCUCAGGCCGUGGUGUGCCUAAGAAUCCCCUUGGGAUGUUUGCCAAGCAGGUUCUAAGCCCUAAUCUCAGAGGUUCUGAUUCUGGGAUUAUUAUUAAUAUCAGCUCCUAUAUGCUUCUUUGCAUCAAAGCACCCUCUUGUCCAUGAUCACAUGCGAUGGUACAUUUUUACAAGCACAGCAGGUGACUCUGACGUGUGCCGCUCUCUGUGUGGAACUUGUGUGCAUUUCUAGAACACGGUACCCUUGCAUGACACCAUGUUUUCAUACGUGCCAUUCCUCUACCCAGAGGGUCCGUUCCUCCACUGUCUGCUCUCUUCCAAGUAGGCACCCCCUCUGUCAUGUGCCCUUCCUGCUUCAUACUGUCCUGAUCAUUACACAUCACCUUGUGCUGUGACUAUGGUUUAAGGCUCUCUCACUAACCACACUAGAGGGUCCUCAAGGGUGGGAGCCUUUGUGUUUGGGCGCCACGCAGUCUUUGGCACAUAACAGAAGCUCAAUGAAUGUUCUUUGAAUAAAUGACAUUGAAAGAACUGAAUGCCCAAGGGAGGCCUGGACUUGCAUACGGGCAUCCACCUCACUGAUAAAAGAUGCCCAUUGUCUUCCAUCCCACCCCUCAGGUCCCCUUUCACGGGUCCUGACUCUGAGACUGAGGUGGGGGUGGAGAACUCGUUCUAAGUCCUAGACUCCCCCCACCUCUGGUUUUUCAGGAGCUUCUUCUACAAAGAACCCACAGUGAGGUCCUCAACCCUUCUCCUCACACAUACUGGUGAACCCCCAAACCACUCAGCUUGAAAACUCAGACCAAGAGGCAGGACGGACAUGCCUGUCUGGCCUGCAAAUUAAAUGCUCCUUCAAGUUGGAAGGGCGCUGCUCACCCUACUCCCUGCUCCACCCACCAGCAUCGGCUAAUUUGUUGAAAUCUUUACAGCCAAAGAUUCUUAUGUCUUUGCCUGGCCUCACCUGCCUCAUCUCAUUCCCCAUUUGAGGAGUUCCAGCCCAAGCCACAACUGCCACAGAUCAAAGUCCACUGAUGGGUUCUGCAUGCUCUGAACUUUUAGUUCCCAGAUGUAAGAAGAAAAGACCUGCCCAAAUACCUAUCCACCCCUCAGGGGCCACCACGUGACCAUCGCAUGUGAUCAUGGACAAGAGGGUGCUUUGAUGCAAAGAAGCAUAUAGGAGCUGAUAUUAAUACUAUUACAGCUCUACAAUAAUCGCUUUGGCCUCAUGGAAAUAACUUGCUCCAAACUCACAGGAUCCUAGGGCCCCAUCUCUUUGACGACCUCACCAGUGUCUGGAGCUGGUGAGAUCAGCCUUGGGCUGACAUGGCUGAGGCAUCCUGAAGCUGGCCCUGGGGUGGGGGGAGGUUUACCUCUGGAAGCCCAGCUGCUGGCAGGUCUUCUCUGAGUAGGAAUCAUUCCAGCUGUUGCUGCAGAUGGGAAGCCACUCAUGGGAGGACCCAGAGUAGACUUUAAGCAGAGACUUAUCCCAGUCAAACCUCACUGCAGGGCAAGAAAAAGGCAGAGCAAGUGCUUAGCACCUAGGAAGGUUCAAGCUCUUGGGGGAUGAGCUGAAUAAGGCUCCGAGACGCUCCUGUCCUGAGGUUCCUCGUUGAGGUCCGGGAGCUUGGCCUGAGCAGUGAUGGGCAGAAGCCCAGGGUGCCCAGUAAGGCAGAGCCAAGGCAAGGGGCUGGGGCAGGGCAGACAGCUCGCCGCCCAACAGGACCCACAGGGCCAUUGCUGGGAGAAGGGGUGAGCACUGCCAGGAGCCAUCACCCUGUGCCCAGUGAGGUCUAUGAUCUAACCAAGUGCCCAGGGGCCAGGCUCAGUCCCAGAUGGACAGUCUUGGGCAAGAGCACCUGUAAACAGUGGGAUGGAUGGGACAUGCACGCACCCCCCACAGCAGGGCUGUAUGGACACAACACAUGCAAGAUCCACUGAGGACCAGAGCUCAUCUAGGCCAUCUGUUUACAAACUGAUGGUCAAGAAACCACAGGGUGACAAGUCAGAGGUCACCUGCUGGACAAAGGAGAGAAGCACAUAGAUGGGACUCCAGACCCCACACCACCUCCAGCCAGAGAUACUCUGCUUUGCUCAGUCUGAUAUCUGGGAGUUGUCAGAUUUUAUAUGAGAACCACUAAUCUUGUCCCAUUCAUUCAUUUUAUGAAUUAGGAGACUGAAGCCCAGAGAAGGUAAAUGACUUGUCCAAGUCAUGCAGCACUCAAAGCCAGGUUUCAAACCCCAGUCUACUAUGACUAGACCCCAGAUCUGCUGAUUCCCGGUCUACCACCUCCUGUUUCAGUGGCACCACACAGUUUGCAUCACAGUUUGUAGUGACCAGAGUAUGGGCACGUGCAUCCAUGCACACACACACACACAGACACACACACACACACACUCUCCCCCCGCCCAGCCUCCUUACCGCAGCCCAGCUCGUCACUCUUCAGCUUGCAGUCCACCACCCCAUUGCAGCGAACGGCGUGCCUGGGACAGCUCUCUACCUGCUCCUUGUACUUGAUCCCCGUGCGGCCCUGCCAGAAGUAGACUGGAAGGAAAGAGGCGGACAGCCGGGUCAUUGCCAGCCCAGAGUGACAAGGCACAAAGCAGCCCAAGGCCCUGGGGGUUCUGAGACACCGACCUGCAAUCCCUCUUGGAAUCUGGGGCUCUCGUCCCCCAUCUGUAUGGAGAGAAAGGCUGCUCAGGAAUGCUCCGGAGUGCUCCAGAAAGCUCCUGCAAGCAGGGCAGCACCAGGAAGACUCGAGCAGCCAGCCACCCAGAGGGACAGAGAGAGAGAGGGAGAGAGGAAGAGAGAGGGGGGAGGUGUGGAGAUGGGUACCACUUUGGGACUGCCCCUCCAUACGUCUGGCAGGGGUGGUGGCCAGAGAAACCACCUCCUCCAGUAUCCCAGAGCCCCCUUCUCAGAACCCCUCUGCCAUCCCACCUCUGUGCUCCACAGGGUCACAGCGACUUCACGGUCACAGCCACGCAAUCCCCACCUGUCUGCUCUUCUCAAAGGCUACCGUCCUUCCACCCCAGAGGCUCCUGGCUUUUCUCCUGCUCCCUCUCCCCUGAACCAGGGACAUCCCCUGUGCUCGGUUCUUUCCCCAUCACUUGUUUUUAUGCCUUGAAUGUCUUUUCACUCAAUGGGCCAUUCUAGGUGGCUGAUUCCCAAAUGUACAAGUUGAGUCUAAAAGAAAACAACUGUGCAAACCAUAAA